CCUGCUUCCACUUCCGCACUUGCUUUAAUCUGAAUGAUCAACAGCAACGCUCAACCGAAUCAGCGCCUUUUCAUUUCCAUUUCCCCCCGCCGCCGGCGAGGUCCGAUCUGACUCGCUGCCGCGCAAUCAGGCGUGGAAAAAACAUACGAACCUGUGAAACUGAACGAAGGCGGCAUUGCUACGUGUAUACGCAAAAUCGAAGAAACGGAAAAGAAGGAUGAAUGAAUACAUACAGAUUUUGGCAGCGGCAGAGAAGGAGAAAGCGGGAGGAGAGUUGAUGAGGUGUAGAAAGGAGAGGAGCACGAGUUCGUCUCCAGGAGAGAGAGACAGCGACAUCACCAGCCAUUGGAGCUCGCUUACAUCCAUGGCGAUGCUCGCCGUCUGAAUCACCAACACUUUCUGCAGAACCUAGGGCAGGGAAGGAGGAAGUAUCUUCCCGAAGCUCUGGAAUGGAUGGCGAUCUAUCUGUCUACAACUUCAUUUGCUAAUGAAUCAAGGAAUUAUGCUCCGGCCGCUGCGAAUGAGCUAUAGAGGUUUUAAGGG
Molecule: long non-coding RNA, 543 nt
Organism: Andrographis paniculata
Lineage: Eukaryota; Viridiplantae; Streptophyta; Magnoliopsida; Lamiales; Acanthaceae
Exons: 4
Source: RefSeq, a predicted model, not a curated record